RNAcentral lists this ribosomal RNA (780 nucleotides) under Triticum aestivum (bread wheat). RNAcentral describes it as "partial small subunit ribosomal RNA". The record is from RNAcentral. Lineage: Eukaryota; Viridiplantae; Streptophyta; Magnoliopsida; Poales; Poaceae.
AUGGACAUGGAGAAGAAAGGAGGUAGAAACUACCUUACCUGGACGGAUGAAAUGGAUGAAGCAAUGCUGAAUGUGUUCGUGGAGCAUUACAAUAGAGGGGAUCAUGCUCAAAAUGGGUGGAAACCACAUGUUUACAGUGCAGUUGUCAACAAUGUUCGAGCCAAGUGCAAUGUGGAUAUUACAAAGGAGAAUGUCAUAUCAGGCAAGAUGUUGUCAACGAGUGGUUUUGGGUGGGAUUGGAUCCAUAACAAUCUUAUGGUUGAUAGUGAGGACGUGUGGAGCAACUAUGUCAAGGAAAACAAAGAUGCCGCUUGCUAUAGGCACAAGGUCAUAAAGUUUUGGGACUAAAUCAGCCUUGUCUUGUCAAAGGAUCACGCCACCAGAACCGGAGCCAGAACCGCCACUGAAAGUGCAGCGGAAAUGGCUGCGGAGAAUGUCAACAACAUCAACAUUGAGUCUGCCGCAACAUCUUCAACCCAAACCAACGAGGAACAGAAGAGGAAAAGAUAUCGAUCGGAUGACUCAAUUGCAUCUAUGCUUGGAGAGAAACUGGAUAAUUUUACUAGUGCCUACAAAGCUGAUAUCGCUCAAGCUGCUCCUCCCGAGAAACCCUCCUCUCCUGAAGAAAUCUUGAUGCUCAAUGCAAUUUCGGGACCAGAUGAUGAUGGUUUGCUAGCAGCUUAUGAUAUCCUCAUAGCAGAUGACCGCAAGUUCAAGGCUCUUAUGGUGCUGCCUGAAAGGAUGAAGAAGAAAUGGAUCCUCAAGCAAAUAAACAAAUGA